UGAGGAACAUGACCUUCGGCGGGGGAUAGCCGGCCCAACGGCCGGGUAAUACCGCGUACGACCACAUGGGGACAUCCUUGAGUGGUGAAAGCAGCAAUGCGCCGAUGGAGUGCCUCGCGGCCUAUCAGCUAGUUGGUGAGGUAACGGCUCACCAAGGCAACGAUGCGUAGCCGACCUGAGAGGGUGAUCGGCCACAUUGGAACUGAGACACGGUCCAGACCUCUACGGGGAGG
RNAcentral lists this ribosomal RNA (233 nucleotides) under uncultured bacterium. RNAcentral describes it as "partial 16S ribosomal RNA". It matches the Rfam family "Bacterial small subunit ribosomal RNA", at positions 118 to 348 of the family's 1533-position model. The record is from RNAcentral.